This 491-nucleotide ribosomal RNA is filed under the name uncultured bacterium. RNAcentral describes it as "partial 16S ribosomal RNA". It matches the Rfam family "Bacterial small subunit ribosomal RNA", at positions 29 to 506 of the family's 1533-position model. The record is from RNAcentral.
AGUGAACGCUGGCGGUAGGCCUAACACAUGCCAGUCGAACGGCAGCACAGUAAGAGCUUGCUCUUACGGGUGGCGAGUGGCGGACGGGUGAGGAAUACAUCGGAAUCUACUUUUUCGUGGGGGAUAACGUAGGGAAACUUACGCUAAUACCGCAUACGACCUACGGGUGAAAGCAGGGGAUCUUCGGACCUUGCGCGAUUGAAUGAGCCGAUGUCGGAUUAGCUAGUUGGCGGGGUAAAGGCCCACCAAGGCGACGAUCCGUAGCUGGUCUGAGAGGAUGAUCAGCCACACUGGAACGGAGACACGGUCCAGACUCCUACGGGAGGCAGCAGUGGGGAAUAUUGGACAAUGGGCGCAAGCCUGAUCCAGCCAUACCGCGUGGGUGAAGAAGGCCUGCGGGUUGUAAAGCCCUUUUGUUGGGAAAGAAAAGCAGCAGGUUAAGACCCCGCUGUUCGGACGGUACCCAAAGAAUAAGCACCGGCUAACUUCGU